RNAcentral lists this microRNA (20 nucleotides) under Schistosoma mansoni. RNAcentral's name for it is "sma-miR-8403-5p". The record is from miRBase by way of RNAcentral. Lineage: Eukaryota; Metazoa; Platyhelminthes; Trematoda; Strigeidida; Schistosomatidae.
CGUAAUCAUUAUCAUUCGUU